GCCUAGGUGGCUCAAUCGGUUAAGUAUCCGACUUUGGCUCAGGUCAUGAUCUCAUGGCUCGUGGGUUCAAGCCCCACAUUGGGCU
This 85-nucleotide transfer RNA is filed under the name Felis catus (domestic cat). It matches the Rfam family "tRNA". From Rfam's summary of the family: Transfer RNA (tRNA) molecules are approximately 80 nucleotides in length. Their secondary structure includes four short double-helical elements and three loops (D, anti-codon, and T loops). Lineage: Eukaryota; Metazoa; Chordata; Mammalia; Carnivora; Felidae. RNAcentral also lists the same sequence under 3 other names. The record is from Rfam by way of RNAcentral.